Molecule: ribosomal RNA, 207 nt
Filed under: uncultured Sphingobacteriales bacterium
Lineage: Bacteria; Pseudomonadati; Bacteroidota; Sphingobacteriia; Sphingobacteriales
Description: partial 16S ribosomal RNA
Rfam family: Bacterial small subunit ribosomal RNA
Source: RNAcentral
UGGGAUGACGUCAAUCAGCACGGCCCUUAUGUCCAGGGCUACACACGUGUUACAAUGGUCGGUACAGAGGGCAGCUACCUGGUGACAGGAUGCUAAUCUCGAAAACCGGUCUCAGUUCGGAUCGAAGUCUGCAACUCGACUUCGUGAAGCUGGAUUCGCUAGUAAUCGCGCAUCAGCUAUGGCGCGGUGAAUACGUUCCCGGGCCUU